Molecule: long non-coding RNA, 883 nt
Filed under: Androctonus crassicauda
Lineage: Eukaryota; Metazoa; Arthropoda; Arachnida; Scorpiones; Buthidae
Source: RNAcentral
AUUGAAAUCAAUAGCCGUUUAUCACGUGAUGUAAGAAGAAAAUUCCGAUUUUGUGAAUGGAAAAUAAUUUAAUUUAAAAAAUUAACAUAAACGAAGGUCGCCAAGAAAAAACCAAAGGUAUAUAGUUGACAUCACGGUUUUUACUCUGAUCUUAGUUAAUUUUUUGCUAUAACAAUUUUAUUUGAAAAGUGAUUUUAUCAAUGAUGUAUAUAGUAAAAGUUAAGCCUAAUGACGUCGAUUUGCUGAAAUAUUCAGUCAUAAUUCGAAAAAUAUCGUAUUGUUGCUCUUAAUAUAUCAUUCGUACUCAUUCAAGAAAUAUAAAUUUUUAAUUCUCUUUAAAUUUCGAUCUAUAUAAAAUAUAGACUAUCAUGUUUUCUUAUAAUUGUAAAGAAUGUACUGUACGCAUGCUUGGGUGAGUGUCCAAUGAAUAUGCGAUAUGCUUACAUGCAACGUUUGUUACAAUUUUAAACGAUCGUAUAGUGCUAUAUAAAGAAUUUAUUUAGCCAGCUUUGUUGAAGUAUAUCGAUACCUAUCUCGUGUUCUACGAAAUGAUAAAAUAUAUGAAAAUGGUUUCGUAUGUUCCUUUAAUGAAUGUAACCUAUAAAUUUUAAUAAAAGAUAUGAACUGUAUGUUUAUUUUGAAAAUAGAUUUAUAUGGGAUGAAGAAAAACUUCAUCGUUAAGGUUUGUGUACUGAUAGGGAGCAUCGAAGCGAAUCGAAGAUGUCAACGAAUAUAUGGUCUGAAUGGCAUUAUUUUCGAGUUGAGACCCUUUGAUGCUGGCCAGUCACAAUCUAGUGUGCAAAGAGUUAGCCAAUCUCAAUUGAGAAUGACAUGACUCUUGGCAAUGGCAUUUCGCAUGCUCGAUAGUGAUUGGCCAGCUUUA